CGGGGUGCACCAGGCGCGAAAACUUUACAAUGCUGGAAACAGCGAUAAGGGGACCUCGAGUGCCAGGUUACAAAUCUGGCUGUCGUGAUGCCUAAAAAGCAUUGCAUAGCAAGGGCCGGGCAAGACCGGUGCCAGCCGCCGCGGUAACACCGGCGGCUCGAGUGGUAACCGUUAUUAUUGGGUCUAAAGGGUCUGUAGCCGGCCGGAUAAGUCUCUUGGGAAAUCCAGCAGCUCAACUGUUGGGCUUUCAGGAGAUACUGUCUGGCUCGAGGCCGGGAGAGGUGAGAGGUACUUCAGGGGUAGGGGUGAAAUCUUGUAAUCCUUGAAGGACCACCAGUGGCGAAGGCGUCUCACCAGAACGGACCUGACGGCAAGGGACGAAAGCUAGGGGCACGAACCGGAUUAGAUACCCGGGUAGUCCUAGCCGUAAACGAUACUCGCUAGGUGUCGGCCACGGUGCGACCGUUGUCGGUGCCGUAGGGAAGCCGUGAAGCGAGCCACCUGGGAAGUACGGCCGCAAGGCUGAAACUUAAAGGAAUUGGCGGGGGAGCACAAGGGCGAAUGCG
RNAcentral lists this ribosomal RNA (566 nucleotides) under uncultured archaeon. RNAcentral's name for it is "bacterial SSU rRNA". It matches the Rfam family "Archaeal small subunit ribosomal RNA", at positions 326 to 892 of the family's 1478-position model. The record is from RNAcentral.